Molecule: ribosomal RNA, 371 nt
Filed under: Serratia marcescens
Lineage: Bacteria; Pseudomonadati; Pseudomonadota; Gammaproteobacteria; Enterobacterales; Yersiniaceae
Description: bacterial SSU rRNA
Rfam family: Bacterial small subunit ribosomal RNA
Source: RNAcentral
CUGGGUGACGAGCGGCGGACGGGUGAGUAAUGUCUGGGAAACUGCCUGAUGGAGGGGGAUAACUACUGGAAACGGUAGCUAAUACCGCAUAACGUCGCAAGACCAAAGAGGGGGACCUUCGGGCCUCUUGCCAUCAGAUGUGCCCAGAUGGGAUUAGCUAGUAGGUGGGGUAAUGGCUCACCUAGGCGACGAUCCCUAGCUGGUCUGAGAGGAUGACCAGCCACACUGGAACUGAGACACGGUCCAGACUCCUACGGGAGGCAGCAGUGGGGAAUAUUGCACAAUGGGCGCAAGCCUGAUGCAGCCAUGCCGCGUGUGUGAAGAAGGCCUUCGGGUUGUAAAGCACUUUCAGCGAGGAGGAAGGUGGUGAG